GCUCAAGGUCUGGGUCCCAGAGUCCACCUUCAUUUUCCACCAAUGAGUUUGUUCACAGGGGAUGGAGUGUGUAGGGAAUGUCCUGAUUUGUGUGUAAGGAAUGCAUUGUGUGAAUCUGUGUUUGUAUGUGUAAGGGCUGCAAGGUGUGUUUCUGUGUAUGUAAGGGAUGAAGUGUGUGAGUCUGUAAGGGGUGCAUUGAGUGUGUGUAAGGAAUGCAUUGUGUGUUUCUGUGUGUGCAAGGGAUGCAUUGUGUGUAAGGGUUGCAUUGCGUGUGUGUGUGUAAUGCAUUGUGUGUGUAAUGCAUUGUGUGUUUUUGUGUGUGCAAGGGGUUCAUUGUCUUUGUGUGUAAGGGGUGCAUUGUGUGUGAUUGUGUGUGUGUGUGUGAUGGAUGUCAAUUUCUCCCCCCUCCCUUGUCACUCUCUUCUCCCCCCCUCCCUUGUUACUCUCAUUCCCCCUCCCUCCCCUGUCACUCCCCCCUCCCUGUCAAUUUCUCUCUCCCCGUCAAUUCCCCUCCCUGUCAAUGUCUCCCCCCCUGUUAGUUUCUUUCUCCCCCCUCCCCUGUCAGUUUCUUUCUUCCCCC
Pelobates cultripes (western spadefoot toad) is the source of this 580-nucleotide non-coding RNA. The record is from the annotation of a GenBank genome assembly. NCBI's taxonomy places the organism in Eukaryota, Metazoa, Chordata, Amphibia, Anura, Pelobatidae.